Molecule: transfer RNA, 71 nt
Filed under: Loxodonta africana (African savanna elephant)
Lineage: Eukaryota; Metazoa; Chordata; Mammalia; Proboscidea; Elephantidae
Rfam family: tRNA
About the family: Transfer RNA (tRNA) molecules are approximately 80 nucleotides in length. Their secondary structure includes four short double-helical elements and three loops (D, anti-codon, and T loops).
Source: Rfam by way of RNAcentral
AUAUUGGUGGUUCAGUGGUAGAAUUCUUGUCUUCCAUGCAGGAGACCUUGUGUCAAUACUUGGCCAAUGUA